This 86-nucleotide microRNA precursor is filed under the name Acyrthosiphon pisum (pea aphid). RNAcentral describes it as "mir-46/mir-47/mir-281 microRNA precursor family". It matches the Rfam family "mir-46/mir-47/mir-281 microRNA precursor family". From Rfam's summary of the family: The hairpin precursors (represented here) are predicted based on base pairing and cross-species conservation -- their extents are not known. In this case the mature sequences are expressed from the 3' arms of the hairpin precursors. Lineage: Eukaryota; Metazoa; Arthropoda; Insecta; Hemiptera; Aphididae. The record is from Rfam by way of RNAcentral.
AGACUUGAACUAUCAAGAGAGCUAUCCGUCGACAGUAUAAUUUUUAACUACACUGUCAUGGAGUUGCUCUCUUUAUGGACAAGUCU